UUCAGAGUGAGAAGAUCAAGAAUGACUACACGUGUCUCUGGUUGGCAAGAUGCUGCAUCGUGAAUCGUAAGGCCAGACUAGCCUGGGAGUUGUACCUUAAGAUGGAGACGUCUGGCGAAUCGUUCAGCCUGCUGUAGCUCAUUGCCAACGACGGCUACAAAAUGGCCAGUUCUACUAUGCGACCAAGGCUUUCGGUGUCCUGGAAAGAUUGGACCCCAAUCCUGAAUACUGGGAAGGCAAGCGAGGGC
Long non-coding RNA from Patiria miniata (bat star), 248 nucleotides. RefSeq lists it as uncharacterized. The record is from RefSeq and is a predicted model, not a curated record. The transcript has 3 exons. NCBI's taxonomy places the organism in Eukaryota, Metazoa, Echinodermata, Asteroidea, Valvatida, Asterinidae.